UACGAAGGGGGCUAGCGUUGUUCGGAAUUACUGGGCGUAAAGCGCACGUAGGCGGGUUGUUAAGUCAGGGGUGAAAUCCCGGAGCUCAACUCCGGAACUGCCUUUGAUACCGGCAAUCUAGAGACUGGAAGAGGUUAGUGGAAUUCCCAGUGUAGAGGUGAAAUUCGUAGAUAUUGGGAAGAACACCAGUGGCGAAGGCGGCUAACUGGUCCAGUACUGACGCUGAGGUGCGAAAGCGUGGGGAGCAAACAGG
RNAcentral lists this ribosomal RNA (253 nucleotides) under uncultured bacterium. RNAcentral's name for it is "partial 16S ribosomal RNA". It matches the Rfam family "Bacterial small subunit ribosomal RNA", at positions 524 to 776 of the family's 1533-position model. The record is from RNAcentral.